RNAcentral lists this ribosomal RNA (253 nucleotides) under uncultured bacterium. Its description in RNAcentral is "partial 16S ribosomal RNA". It matches the Rfam family "Bacterial small subunit ribosomal RNA", at positions 524 to 776 of the family's 1533-position model. The record is from RNAcentral.
UACGUAGGGGGCAAGCGUUGUCCGGAAUCAUUGGGCGUAAAGAGCGUGUAGGCGGCUCGGUAAGUCCGCUGUGAAAGUCCAGGGCUCAACCCUGGAAUGCCGGUGGAUACUGUCGAGCUCGAGUCCGGAAGAGGCGAGUGGAAUUCCUGGUGUAGCGGUGAAAUGCGCAGAUAUCAGGAGGAACACCCGUGGCGAAAGCGGCUCUCUGGGACGGUACUGACGCUGAGACGCGAAAGCGUGGGGAGCAAACAGG